GCUUCAUAUAACAUUACAAAUAUACAAAUACGGAGCUUCAUAUGCAGAAAACUGUUCCUGCUUCUAAUGGGCCGCGGGAGGCAGGGUUGCUCUAUUUAAUCAUUUGAAUCAGCUAUGGGCUGUGCAGUGCUGGAUGAGCUUUACACAGAAUAGCUUUAACUUCUCGAAGCGGAGUAUGAGUGUAGAGAUAGGCGAGUUAGGAACCGACGUGGUGCGAGGAAGCAGGGCGUGUGCACAGACCGUAUUACGGCAGGGAACGCCAAGUUUCUACUUGGGCCGCGCAGGGGCAGUGGUCCCGUUGUUAUGACUAUUACCAAGAGGUGUGUCCCGCUGCUGGUGCAGUGUCCUCUACUCCAACCCUCCGUACCGCAACGGUCCCUGGUUUUGCCGCUGGCCUUGGGUGGGUCGCCCUGUGUGGCUCUCCGGCACACUUGUCGAUGUUCUUUAGAUCCUGGGGCUCAUUGGCGGUGCAACUCAGGUAACUGUCAUCACUAUCGGGCACUAAUGCAAUGUUAGAAAUGGGUUGGUGUUGGGAGGGGGUUUCGUGGCCAGGUUGACUGCAACCGGGCUGAGCCGGCUGGCGGUUUAGCUGCUGUAACGCAAUACGGCAGGACUGAGCAAUAACCCGUUCAGUAACCUAGAUUAUCCUCGCAGACGGCCGUCUUGGUACGUGCUGCUCUGCCCUUCUACCAUGGAUGCAGGAUGGGCCACGUAAUCGAGGGCUUUGUAAAUACCUUCAAGCAUGCACAUAGUUUUAGCUAUGACUCCAUUCUUCUGGAACCUCAAGAAUCCAG
This 794-nucleotide long non-coding RNA is filed under the name Volvox carteri. RNAcentral's name for it is "long non-coding RNA (VCAR_LNC000336)". Lineage: Eukaryota; Viridiplantae; Chlorophyta; Chlorophyceae; Chlamydomonadales; Volvocaceae. The record is from RNAcentral.